GUUUGAUGAGAAAAAGGAAAAGUAUUAAAAAAGAAUUUUUUUCCCUCUUAUCAUAUGUAUUCAAUUACAUGGAUAUCAAAUGACAUAUAUAUUAGAAAAACAAUUGACAUGAAUUAUAACUUUUGUUCAUGUCAUAAGCAGCUGAAGAAUUACAUAAAUUUAAACAGUUUUACAAAAAUAUUAGAACCCGUUUUCAAUACUUCCAACCUCGUAUAUAUCUUCCAGAUGGAUUAUUAUAACUUAUUUUAAACCAUAUCCCACUCAUUCUGGCAGUCCAUACACGUACUUGACCACAUUGAGGAGCCUCUGUAUUUUGACUGUAUGCUUCUACGUAAUUACGAUACCUCAUGUUAAGCCCUUGCUUAAAGAGACAAUGCCAUUUUGUUAUAUUUUUUCCCUCGUCCUGAAGAUGAAUGGUUUUAAUAGCAUGGAAGUUUAGGUGUUGGACUCCUAAGUCUUUUUUUGUGUAGCGACAAUGAUAUUGGAGAAUUCUACCAGGACCGAGAUCGUUUAUGAUUACUAUUGCAUUUUUCUCGCAAGCUUCAGUUUUCGUAGAACAAAUAGCAGUAACUAAUAUAAAAAAUAUUAAACGUAACAUUUCUCGGAUCUAAAUUAAUUAUUGGAGAAACAAGGGCAUUAACAAGUAGUAUUUAUAAUUUUUUUUCUCUGUGUGUGUAAGAAGCUUUUUCUUUAUAUAAUAUUAACUAAGUUUAGACAAAAACAUGAACAAAUUAAGCCUUUGGUUAGAAGAGAUUUUAGGGUCGAAAUGUAUGCUUAACCAUGAAGAAUAAAUCAAAUGAACUAACCUUAGACAUUAAAAUUGACCACAAAACCCAAACUUAACCAUAUUAUAAGUUUAAGAAGUUUAUCUAGUUUGACUAAAAACUUUGAAAAAAUAACUAGAUUGAUUGUCAAUCGAAAUAGAUAACUAGAGUAAACUAAAUUUUCUGUUAAAACACUAAUUAACCUUCAAUCAAACUUAUUAUAACCAUUAUGCCAUACCUAUAAAAAAUUAUAUACAAAUUUGAUUCUUUAAUUAAAUAAAUAAAAAACACAAAAUUAAGAAACAAAAACCAAAAAACAUAAUAAGUCUCGAUUUAGGUUUUUCGUUUCUUAAGUUUUUUUCUCUCUCACAUAUUUUCCAAUUCAUGUUUUAUCUUUUUCGAUCUUUCUACUAAACCCUAGCCAUCUCUCUUUGAAUCUAAUGCUCCCACAAAAGAUGGCGACCAUUUAGACUAGAUUUAUUUAACUGCGAAAUACUUACAUCUAUGUGUGUAUCAACUUCAAGUCGCAUUUAAGGUUCCAUGAUCUUCUCUCCUUAUCAUGUAUACGUAUAUGGGUAUUUUCUCAUAUCCAUUCUCUGGACUUCCCCUUACCAAUUCUCUCUCUGGAUUACUAAAACCUUUGUGGAACAUACCAAGUAUAUCAUCAGUUGCUUGUCGAACACCUGCAUAAAGGUCUGUCAUUGAACAUGUAUGUUCCAAGACAAACACACACACAUGGAAUUUUGGAGAGUCGCUUAAUGGUGUAGCUCAUAUCCUCCACAUUCACUUUUUAACACAAGACUUGAAAAACAAUAUAAAUGGUGACGAUUUAUGAACAUAAAAUCAAAAUUUUAUACCAUAAUUGUUGUCUUCAAUCGUGUCUCCAAAUGAUAUUUUGUUUCAUAACAUUGCAACCAACCAAAUCCAAAGAAGACAUUUCUAACUUUGAAUAAUGAUCAUCUUCUUUUUCUUCAAUAAAAAUACCUAAACUUAUCUUCUUCAUUGGUAAAUUAGGUUUUUCUUCUUCUUGUGGUGGAAACCCGUACAAGCUAAAAUUCCCGUCAUCAGAAUCUGUUCCAUCAGAAUCGUCACAAUAAUCAAAGGUAGAUUCUCAUCAUCAUUGUCUUCAUCAGUCCUGGUCUUCAUCUUCAACGGCUUCAACUUCCUGAAACAACUCAGUAUCUUCCUUCAUCAAAUUAUUUUUGUUACCUUUGUAUCUUGAUGUCAAUGACACCAUCCUUGUCAUUUUUAUAAGAUUCAAUGCAACUUUCUUCUUCACUUCAACACAAGUCAAAUUGUAUCGUUCUUCAAUUACCCCAAAAAAGUGUGAAAGUGUCUUGAAUUACAUAUAAUAAUGGGUGGUGUAUCACGCGGUCUUCGAAAUCUUGUAGCUAAACACAAUAUUACAUACUCUGUUCUCCAGCCUGUAACCCUCUAAUAGCAUUUGUUAAGUGAUAUAUUUACACAAUUUAUAGUUUUUUUUCGUUACCAGAUAUGUUACACUCCUAUUUCCCUUUGUCCUUACCAGAUAUGUUAUACUCUUAUUUCCCUUUAACCAUACAUCUAACCAGUGUCCCUAAGGCAAGAUAAUCACUAAUAGCCCACAACAAUAUAGUUCUAAGUGUGCAAUUCUCCUUCAUAUAAGAAUCAUAAACCUCUAUACAUUCUUUCCACAGACCAUUUAGAUCAUCUAUAAUAGGUGCAAGAUACACAUCUAUGUUGUUGUGUGGUGCAGUUGGUCUAGGGAAGAGCAUAGUCAUCAUGAUGUUCCCAGCCUUCAUACACAUAGUCGGCAACAUGUUGUAGUUGACUAACAACAUCGAUCAUGUACAAUACUUUUUUCUGCAUAGAGAACGAGUUCAUCCUAUCUGUAGAAAAGUCGAGUCGAAGGUUCCUUGGUUUAGUAGAAUACUUUGAAAACUUAUCUUUUAUUUGAGACCAAGUCAAUGAAUCAACUGAGUGUCGUAUUGGACCGUCUACACUAGCAUUGUUGAAAUGCCAACACAACUCCUAAGCAAUCCUUUUUAAUCUAAAUAUCCUCCUAAAUCUAUCCUUAGAUCGAAAAAUACCUCUGAACCUUUGCGGGAACCCCUUCUUUUCCUCUCUAGUAUGCUUAUCUUACUUCCAUCUCGAAGCACUAUAUCUUGGGAAGCUAACAAACUCCUCAAACAUCUUUCGAUAAAGGAUGCAAUCAUGUGUAAAUCAAAUCAUAACUAAAACCAAAAAGCUUCAAGAGCUUCUACAUCUCAUGAACAGAUUUUGGAAGAACAUUAUCCGCAUGUAACAUGUCGUGAACCAAUUUCAUGAACUGAUCAAAUUAGUUCUUGGAUAUACCACUUUUAACUUUUAUGUAGUAGAGAGCCAUGAUUGUAGACACUUUAGUAUAGUUGGGACACGUCGAGUAGAGUAGAGUUCAACAUCCAUCAACUUCUACCUAAACUCAGAUUCUUCUUUACUUUCAUCAUCAUCACCCUGAUCUCCACUUUCAGUCUAAAAAAGUGGCGUUUGAUGAGAAAAAGGAAAAGUGUUAAAAAAGAUUUUUUUUCCCUCUUAUCAUAUGUAUUCAAUUACAUGGAUAUCAAAUGACAUAUAUAUUAGGAAAACAAUUGACAUGAAUUAUAACUUUUGUUCAUGUCAUAAGCAGCUGAAGAAUUAUAUAAAUUUAAACAGUUUUACAAAAAUAUUAGAACGCGUUUUCAAUACUUCCAACCUCGUAUAUAUCUUCCAGAUGGAUUAUUAUAACUUAUUUUAAACCAUAUCCCACUCAUUCUGGCAGUCCAUACACGUACUUGACCACAUUGAGGAGCCUCUGUAUUUUGACUGUAUGCUUCUACGUAAUUACGAUACCUCAUGUUAAGCCCUUGCUUAAAGAGACAAUGCCAUUUUGUUAUAUUUUUUCCCUCGUCCUGAAGAUGAAUGGUUUUAAUAGCAUGGAAGUUUAGGUGUUGGACUCCUAAGUCUUUUUUUGUGUAGCGACAAUGAUAUUGGAGAAUUCUACCAGGACCGAGAUCGUUUAUGAUUACUAUUGUAUUUUUCUCGCAAGCUUCAGUUUUCGUAGAACAAAUAGCAGUAACUAAUAUGAAAAAUAUUAAACGUAACAUUUCUCGGAUCUAAAUUAAUUAUUGGAGAAACAAGGGCAUUAACAA
This 3910-nucleotide long non-coding RNA is filed under the name Arabidopsis thaliana (thale cress). Its description in RNAcentral is "long non-coding RNA (ATHA_LNC000248)". The record is from RNAcentral. Lineage: Eukaryota; Viridiplantae; Streptophyta; Magnoliopsida; Brassicales; Brassicaceae.